GCUACCCAGGUAUCAUCUUGCCCUUUGAAUCUGAAGCUGUCAUGCCCAAAGAUUUCAUAGGAGGAGGAGCUCAACCUGUUGGAGCAUAUGAGGAGGGCUUUUGCAAGAUGUCUGGUAUGAAGGAAAAGAUGCCAAUCUUCAUCGCGAUGCCUCCGGAGGAUCCUCCAUGGAAUGGAAUGGCUUUGACGAUUUUGUUACUGAGUUUGAGGGACCUCAGGUUGGGGCAGCAUAUAUUGAGGUACGCGAUUUGAAGGUCUAGAGGUUAUCAAACGAAUUUUUAGAAGCCCAGAGGUUUUUCUUCGUGAACUGAUCAGCAACGCCUCUGAUGCUUUGGGCAGGUUUAAAAUGCAGAGCCUGGGUUGUCAUCCAGAACUUUCAGUCGAAAUUGAAAUUGAUAAGACUGAAAAGACACUUUCUAUCACGGAUAAUGGCAUAGGGAUGACUAAAGCAGAUCUGAAGCAUGAAUUGGGUACUAUUGGGUGGUCGGGAACUAACAAGUAUCUGGAGUAUUUGAAGUUACAGGAAUUAUCUCAUCCGAGCAUGAUUGGAGAGUUUGGUUGUUGUUUCUUCGCUGCUUUUCUUGUCGCCCACAAAGUCCAGGUUUUCUCAAAACAUGAUGAAGAUGAACAAUACAUGUGGGAAUCACAGGGUGAUGGCUUCUUUACUGUCAUCAAGGAUGUCCAUGGCGAGAAACUUGUGAGGGGCACCAAGGUCACUCUUUUCCUAAAAGCAGAUCAGAUGGAGUACUUGGAGGAGGGGAGGAUUGAAGAGCUUGUGAAGAAGCACUCAGAAUUCAUAAGCUAUCCAAUAUACCUUUCAAGGAAGCUUGCCUCUGAGUUUGUGAGCGAUCCAGUUGGCCUCUCCGGCACUGAAACAGACCAGAAGAUUAUCAAUGAUCCUAGACCAUGCUGGCUCUCUAAACCUGAGGAGGUCAGCAUGGCUGAGUAUGUUCAUCCCUUCAAGAGGUUGACCAGUGAUGGGGAACACCUGCUUGCGUUCAAGCAUUUCUCCAUGCCUGAAGCUAAUGGCAUUAUCUUUGUCCCUAAGAGUGCCCCAUUCCAACACUUUGACACCAGGGAGAAAUCUCAUAACAUCAAGCUUUAUGUCAGGAGGGUGUUCAUCAUGGACAAGUCGGAUCAGUUGGUUCCAGAGUACCUUGAAUUUGUUAAGGGUGUUGUAGGCUCUGACCACAUGCCACUCAACAUAUGUCGUGAAAUGCCUCGACAAAGAAUGACUUUGGAUGUGAUCAGGAAGAACAUCGUAAAGUAUUGCUUUGAGAUGUUUAAUGAGAUUGCUAAAAACAAAACGGAUUACACAAAGUUCUAUGAGGCAUUUUCCAAGAACUUGAAGCUGGGAAUUCAUGUGGACAGGCAGAACAGAACCCAAUUGGGUAACCUGCUCCGAUACCACUCCACCAAGUGUCGUGAAGAGCUCACAAGCUUCCAGGAGUAUGUGACCAGGAUGAAGGAUGGUCAAAAUGUUAUUUACUAUGUUAAUUGUGAGAGCAAGAAGUGGAGGGUGAACUGUUCAAUCUUGGAACUCCUUAAGGAAAUGGAGUAUGAAUUUCUCCUCAUGGUAGAUGCUGACAUGUACACGGUGGAAGAUCUGAAGGAAUAUGAUGGAAAAAAGCUUGUGUCUGCCUUUAAGGAUGGUGAGCUCAUUGACGAGCUGAGGAGGUGAGGCAGAAUGAAGAGGAUAAGUAUUCAAUGUUUUGGAGCUCUGUUCUUUUCGAUUUGAUACGGCAUCGUACAGAUGGUUUUCAAGUGUUGUUGCCAUGGGAUUCUGACAAAGAAGAGCUUUAUUUCAUUGGUUUUACUGUCAAAUUUAUCAGAGGACCAGAAAUACUGGCCUCGAUGCAUGCCGGUAACUACGUUUGCAUUAAACACUUGAAUGCAGUUUAA
This is an RNA transcript of Fragaria vesca subsp. vesca, 1901 nucleotides long. It is a transcript of the gene named heat shock protein 83-like, with no coding region annotated. The record is from RefSeq and is a predicted model, not a curated record. Lineage: Eukaryota; Viridiplantae; Streptophyta; Magnoliopsida; Rosales; Rosaceae. The transcript is spliced from 6 exons.